This 258-nucleotide long non-coding RNA is filed under the name Vigna radiata. Its description in RNAcentral is "long non-coding RNA (VRAD_LNC013799)". Lineage: Eukaryota; Viridiplantae; Streptophyta; Magnoliopsida; Fabales; Fabaceae. The record is from RNAcentral.
AGGCUUCUUUUUAUGUCCUCCCAAAACACAAGAAUGUUGUAUAAACCAAAAAUAUCAUUUUGGCAUCUUGGGCCUCAAUACUUAAGCCCCUUAUUGUAGAUAGGUUGAAAGAAUUUCCUUAGCAUAUUUGCAAUAGUGAAAUAUUAGAUUUGGUGGUCCUCACAACAAGAAACAAUGAUCUUGUUAAAGAUGCUUUCCUUAUGGUUUAUUUCAUCUUUUCCUUUCUCUUUCCUCACCCUAGUCCACAGUUUUUAUGGC